UUAUAUAAGUUAUCGUUUAUUUGAUAAUACUUUACUACUUGGAUAACCGUGGUAAUUCUAGAGCUAAUACAUGCUAAAAAUCCCGACUUCGGAAGGGUUGUAUUUAUUAGAUUAAAAACCAAUGCCCCUCGGGGCUCUCUGGUGAAUCAUGAUAACUAGUCGAAUCGACAGGCCUUGUGCCGGCGAUGGCUCAUUCAAAUUUCUUCCCUAUCAACUUUCGAUGUUUGGGUAUUGUCCAAACAUGGUGGCAACGGGUAACGGAGGGUUAGGGCUCGACCCCGGAGAAGGAGCCUGAGAAACGGCUACUACAUCCAAGGAAGGCAGCAGGCGCGCAAAUUACCCAAUCCCGACACGGGGAGGUAGUGACAAUAAAUACUGAUACAGGGCUCUUUUGGGUCUUGUAAUCGGAAUGAGUACAAUUUAAAUCCCUUAACGAGGAACAAUUGGAGGGCAAGUCUGGUGCCAGCAGCCGCGGUAAUUCCAGCUCCAAUAGCGUAUAUUAAAGUUGUUGUGGUUAAAAAGCUCGUAGUUGAACCUUGGGCCUGGCUGGCCGGUCCGCCUCACCGCGUGCACUGGUCCGGCCGGGCCUUUCCCUCUGCGGAACCCCAUGCCCUUCACUGGGUGUGGCGGGGAAACAGGACUUUUACUUUGAAAAAAUUAGAGUGCUCAAGGCAGGCCUAUGCUCGAAUACAUUAGCAUGGAAUAAUAGAAUAGGACGUGUGGUUCUAUUUUGUUGGUUUCUAGGACCGCCGUAAUGAUUAAUAGGGACAGUCGGGGGCAUCAGUAUUCAAUUGUCAGAGGUGAAAUUCUUGGAUUUAUUGAAGACUAACUACUGCGAAAGCAUUUGCCAAGGAUGUUUUCAUUAAUCAGGAACGAAAGUUAGGGGAUCGAAGACGAUCAGAUACCGUCGUAGUCUUAACCAUAAACUAUGCCGACUAGGGAUCGGACGAUGUUACAUUUUUGACGCGU
This 969-nucleotide ribosomal RNA is filed under the name Trichoderma harzianum. Its description in RNAcentral is "SSU rRNA". It matches the Rfam family "Eukaryotic small subunit ribosomal RNA", at positions 101 to 1079 of the family's 1831-position model. The record is from RNAcentral. Lineage: Eukaryota; Fungi; Ascomycota; Sordariomycetes; Hypocreales; Hypocreaceae.